RNAcentral lists this transfer RNA (74 nucleotides) under Gossypium hirsutum (cotton). It matches the Rfam family "tRNA". From Rfam's summary of the family: Transfer RNA (tRNA) molecules are approximately 80 nucleotides in length. Their secondary structure includes four short double-helical elements and three loops (D, anti-codon, and T loops). Further hydrogen bonds mediate the characteristic L-shaped molecular structure. tRNAs have two regions of fundamental functional importance: the anti-codon, which is responsible for specific mRNA codon recognition, and the 3' end, to which the tRNAs corresponding amino acid is attached (by aminoacyl-tRNA synthetases). tRNAs cope with the degeneracy of the genetic code in two manners: having more than one tRNA (with a specific anti-codon) for a particular amino acid; and 'wobble' base-pairing, i.e. permitting non-standard base-pairing at the 3rd anti-codon position. Lineage: Eukaryota; Viridiplantae; Streptophyta; Magnoliopsida; Malvales; Malvaceae. The record is from Rfam by way of RNAcentral.
GCUGGAGUAGCUCAGUCGAUUAGAGCGUAUGGCUGUUAACCAUAAGGUCGGAGGUGCGACCCCUCCCUGUAGCG